AAGACUAUACUUUCAGGGAUCAUUUCUAUAGUUGUGGACUGGAGAAAUGAGACUCUAAAGUGAUUGGUCGCGUCAACCGCGAGGAUGAGAUACGGUGUCCUUUUCUGAGCGUGAAAUGGGUGGAGGAUUAUGGGAGUUUUCCUAUAGUCUUUCAUCAUUGAUGAUCGUUCUUGAUCUUUUUUGGAAGGUUAAGAGGUGAAGGACACGUUCUGAGUGGUU
Molecule: small nucleolar RNA, 219 nt
Organism: Scleropages formosus (Asian bonytongue)
Lineage: Eukaryota; Metazoa; Chordata; Actinopteri; Osteoglossiformes; Osteoglossidae
Product: small nucleolar RNA U3
Source: Ensembl